RNAcentral lists this long non-coding RNA (2944 nucleotides) under Homo sapiens (human). Its description in RNAcentral is "HSALNT0310565". The record is from RNAcentral. Lineage: Eukaryota; Metazoa; Chordata; Mammalia; Primates; Hominidae.
UCAUUCAUUUACUGUUUUAUUCAUUCAGAAACACAGUAAGUACCAAAUUGUGCAAGACAUAAUGACUAGACACAGUUCCCGCCCUUGGAAUGUGUCGUUCAGUGUCACGGGAAGAGUACUGGCCCUGGAGUCAUCCAAGUUGGGCUUAAGUCCUGGUUUUGCCACUUAGUAGCUGUGUGACCUUGAGGAAGUUAUUCAUUCUUUCGGAGUCUAAGCUUUCUUACUUAUAAAGUGGGCGUGCAAAGCCGACUUUGAUAGUUUGCUGUGAGGAUUAGAGCUACAGCUUUUGGAAUUCCUGGCACCGAAUAAGGGCUCUCUUAUUGACAUAUUCUUGGAUAACUGUUGUAUAAGGUAAAAAAAGAAGAGUGGCUAACAUAGGGCAGGGAUGCCUGAAGGGAUUUAUAGAAGGAAGAAAUGGGUAACGGUUGAGGGGUAGAGGGUCCAAGUGAGAUAUCAAGGAAGGAUUCCUGGAAGAGGUGGGAUUUGAGCUGAUACUUGAAAGCAGAGACUUGCUAUAUCAAGAUGGGAGGAGUGGGAGGUGAGGCUUAGGCUGUGUUCCUUCUCUGGGGAAUUCCCCUUUGUCCUUCUCAGAAACUGGGUCUAAGACCUCAGAGAAAGUAGCAAUAAGGCCAGGGAGUCCUCAGUCCUGAGUCCUAGAGAGUUGCAGAAGUAUCUGCAUCACAUUUUCCUGACUUUCUCUAUUCUGAGUCAUAUUCUUGCAGCUCUUCAUUUUUCAAAUUUCAUUUCGCAAACCUUCAGAGAUGGAAGUUUUGCCACUUUUCACACCAAAAGCACUUACUGUGUUUUUUUUAACCACAUGGCAUCAAACUUUUUCUAAAAAGGUUUGACAUAUGUAAACCACUCAGCUGUAGUUUGUUUCAUUAUUGUAAAAACAAAAGUAGCUGGACUAGAUGAUCGCUGGGGUCCUGUCCAACUUGGCAGGUGUUUGAAUCUCUAUUUGAACCUAAUGGUUCAGGUUCACGAAUAUCUUCUGCCUCUUCUCUGUGUUUCUCUCCUUCUGCUACUCUCUUUUCUGUCUCUGUCUUUCUCUGUCUCUGUGUCUCUCUAUCUAUAACUUUGUCUCAUUCUCUGGCAUUGUCUCUGUCUUUCCAAGCAUGCACCAUUUAAUUUAAGUCAAAUUUCUGGAUGUAUGCUCAACUACUUUUAAUUGCUCUCCAGCCAAGUGUGCCAGCCUGGGAUUAAGAGCCCUGGUCUUUAGCCCUGGCACUAACUCACUGUGUGACCUAGGACAACCCAUUUCCCCUGUGGGUCUGGAUUUUUCUAGAUGUACAAUGAAAGCCUUGGACCAGAUGAGCUCUAAGCCCUUUCCAACUUUGGCAUCUCUCAGGGUCUGUGAUUCCUGAAACAUCAGUGGUUCCUAGACAGGGGUGAAGGAUCUCCCCUUUUACCCCUUGGUGAACAAUCUUUGCCCUCAAGUUCCCUCAGGUGCCUUAGCCUGGCACCAGUUCACCACGGCAAGAGCUGCCUGUAAAAUCUAAUUCACAAUACAAGUUUCUGGGGCCUUCCUGCAGCUGUCAGCAGGUGUCACAUUCACAGUAUUUUGUCUUAAUUACAGCUCUGGGAUUUAUCAGCCAGGCUAGAGACCUCUUCUGGAAUACGACAUCCCCGGGAGCUGUUCCAGGUGCUCCUGUCCCUGCUGCUGCCACACACAGGCCUGUUCCCUGCCGAUGGGGCUGAAGUAGAUUCUGCUUUGCAUGCUGCUCCUGCUGUGUCUCCCACCACUACCUCACAGAGAGCCUGUGUGACAUAGAUAACUCCCACAGCCUUCCCAGGGAUCCAGAGGCAAAGACAUCUACCUGUUUGGGGCAGUGCCAAGGCUCCCACCAGCCCUGGAGCACUUCACAUCCGCUGUCCCAUCCCAAAACCUUGGUGGGCAGAGAAAUAGAGGCGAAAAAUGACUCUUGGAGAAGUUAAGUCACUUGAUCUGGACCACAUAGCAAGUACAGAAUUGGGGUCAGAGUUCCAAAGGCACCUUGCACACAGCCCUAGGAGGAGGUGACCUCCUGUGGUCAUCUGACGCUGACCCUUGGUGAUGGCUCACUGGUUCCCAACCACUUCCAACCUUCCUGCUGUCCUCACUGCUCUAGUCUGGUGGGGCAGUUUCCGGGUUAGCUGGCUGCCUCCUCUACUAACUCCCAGCCACUGACUUCCCAUCAGAGGACCUUCUCUGAGUUGAGACUGUGUGGAAAAGGCUAACAUUCCCUCCAAAAUGUGUGCUCCCUCUUCCAUAGGCCAGAGUGAGCCCUGUGAAGUAGCUGCAUUUCCCAGCCCUCUGCAGUAUAGAGAGAUGGGGGCAUGUCAUUAUUCUUGCCAAUGAUUCUGCCUGGGUGCACAGACUCAAUUCCUGGGGGACAGUGGAGCCACGGGAUGUAAAGGGCCUGCACCCCUGAAUGCCAGAAUGGAGGUGCACUGCCCCCAACCAGGGACAUGGACUGUUAGGUAAGGCUCAGGGAGAUUAAGGGAUGCACCCAAGGUCAAACACAACCAGUAGGCAGUAGGCCAGGAUUGAAUCUGGAUGUCUGACUCCAGAGACUUCUGGAGGUUCAGUUACCAGCACACGGUGGAGAUCUUCCUCCACCACCACCACCUAGAGAGAAUGAGCAGGAAACCUCAGAAGAAAUGGCACCCAAAAGAGCCAGAAGUGUCGCCUCAGCCAGCUAAGGUUGGAACCACUUACCAACGCCCAGAAUCACGUCUUUCCAAUCAAACCCAAUGACUGUUCAUCUCUGGGUUUCAGUUUCCUGGUUUGUAAACUCCCAUGAGUAAACAAUCUCUGAUUAUCCCGACCACAGAGAGGGUUCAAUCAGGUGUGCUGGUGGUCUUCAAUCAAACAUGGAUUUACCUCCCCUAUUCUAUUCUUCAAAGAGGGUGACAAAUCUGCAACUCACUUGAAAUCCAUCAAUAAAAAAGAUUAAUAAACAGA